This 425-nucleotide unclassified non-coding RNA is filed under the name uncultured Talaromyces. RNAcentral describes it as "sequence contains ITS1". The stretch from base 1 to 107 matches the Rfam family "5.8S ribosomal RNA", at positions 50 to 154 of the family's 154-position model. The record is from RNAcentral. Lineage: Eukaryota; Fungi; Ascomycota; Eurotiomycetes; Eurotiales; Trichocomaceae.
GAAAUGCGAUAAGUAAUGUGAAUUGCAGAAUUCCGUGAAUCAUCGAAUCUUUGAACGCACAUUGCGCCAUAGGAGUCUUACCCUAUGGCACAUCUGGUUGAGGGUCGGGAUCAAACACAGCAAGCUUUGAGCUGUAAUAGAGCUAGUUGACGAAUCAUCAGACCGGCAUACGCCUUAUUGUCGGUGGUGUUUUGUCAUAAUGCUAUAGAGGGUACGCGUUUAAUGGGUACUUCCUUACCACACGGAUGGGCAGGCAAGUCGAUUGACUUGUGGUCCGGCCUCCGGGUAUUGUACAAACGUCUAACGUAUAUACUCGGUUGGUUGGGAGGCCGUCGCUUGGCUUAACCUAUACGUGCCUGGUAGUAGAUUCCGUUAUGAACGGAUUUCCCGACCUCAACUCAGGUGUGAUUACCCGCUGAACUUAA